Molecule: ribosomal RNA, 429 nt
Filed under: uncultured bacterium
Lineage: Bacteria
Description: bacterial SSU rRNA
Rfam family: Bacterial small subunit ribosomal RNA
Source: RNAcentral
UGGGGAAUUUUGGACAAUGGGGGCAACCCUGAUCCAGCCAUGCCGCGUGAGUGAAGAAGGCCUUCGGGUUGUAAAGCUCUUUCGGCGGGGACGAAACGGUUCGUGACAACACCACGGACUAAUGACGGUACUCGCAGAAGAAGCACCGGCUAACUACGUGCCAGCAGCCGCGGUAAUACGUAGGGUGCAGGCGUUAAUCGGAAUUACUGGGCGUAAAGCGUGCGCAGGCGGCCUCUUAAGUCAGAUGUGAAAUCCCCGGGCUUAACCUGGGAACUGCGUUUGAAACUGGGAGGCUAGAGUGUGGAAGAGGGGGGUGGAAUUCCAGGUGUAGCAGUGAAAUGCGUAGAGAUCUGGAGGAACACCGAUGGCGAAGGCAGCCCCCUGGGCUGACACUGACGCUCAUGCACGAAAGCGUGGGGAGCAAACAGG